AACGAACGCUGGCGGCAGGCUUAACACAUGCAAGUCGAACGCUGUAGCAAUACAGAGUGGCGCACGGGUGAGUAACGCGUGGGAAUAUGCCCUUUAGUACGGAAUAACGUCGGGAAACUGACGCUAAUACCGUAUACGCCCUUCGGGGGAAAGAUUUAUCGCUAAAGGAUUAGCCCGCGUUAGAUUAGGUAGUUGGUGGGGUAAUGGCCUACCAAGCCUACGAUCUAUAGCUGGUCUGAGAGGAUGAUCAGCCACACUGGAACUGAGACACGGUCCAGACUCCUACGGGAGGCAGCAGUGGGGAAUAUUGGACAAUGGGGGAAACCCUGAUCCAGCCAUGCCGCGUGAGUGAUGAAGGCCUUAGGGUUGUAAAGCUCUUUUGUCAGGGAAGAUGAUGACGGUACCUGAAGAAUAAGCACCGGCUAACUUCGUGCCAGCCGCCGCGGUAA
This 449-nucleotide ribosomal RNA is filed under the name uncultured bacterium. Its description in RNAcentral is "partial 16S ribosomal RNA". It matches the Rfam family "Bacterial small subunit ribosomal RNA", at positions 29 to 523 of the family's 1533-position model. The record is from RNAcentral.